Molecule: ribosomal RNA, 201 nt
Filed under: uncultured Ascomycota
Lineage: Eukaryota; Fungi; Ascomycota
Description: partial 26S ribosomal RNA
Rfam family: Eukaryotic large subunit ribosomal RNA
Source: RNAcentral
AAACCAACAGGGAUUGCCUUAGUAACGGCGAGUGAAGCGGCAAAAGCUCAAGUUUGAAAUCUAGUACCUCCGGUGCUCGAGUUGUAAUUUGAAGAUAGUUUUCUGGUACUGGCCCUUGUCUAUGCUCCUUGGAACAGGACGUCAUAGAGGGUGAGAAUCCCGUCUGAUGGGGUGUCCAGUGCUUUGUAGAUUUCUAUCGAA